GACGAACGCUGGCGGCGUGCUUAACACAUGCAAGUCGAACGGAAAGGCCCUGCUUUUGUGGGGUGCUCGAGUGGCGAACGGGUGAGUAACACGUGAGUAACCUGCCCUUGACUUUGGGAUAACUUCAGGAAACUGGGGCUAAUACCGGAUAGGAGCUCCUGCUGCAUGGUGGGGGUUGGAAAGUUUCGGCGGUUGGGGAUGGACUCGCGGCUUAUCAGCUUGUUGGUGGGGUAGUGGCUUACCAAGGCUUUGACGGGUAGCCGGCCUGAGAGGGUGACCGGCGACAUUGGGACUGAGAUACGGCCCAGACGCCUACGGGAGGCAGCAGUGGGGAAUAUUGCACAAUGGGCGGAAGCCUGAUGCAGAAACGCCGCGUGCGGGAUGACGGCCUUCGGGUUGUAAACCGCUUUCGCAUGUGACGAAGCGUGAGUGACGGUAAUGGGUAAAGAAGCACCGGCUAACUACGUG
Molecule: ribosomal RNA, 468 nt
Filed under: uncultured bacterium
Lineage: Bacteria
Description: partial 16S ribosomal RNA
Rfam family: Bacterial small subunit ribosomal RNA
Source: RNAcentral